Bos taurus (domestic cattle) is the source of this 1641-nucleotide long non-coding RNA. The record is from Ensembl. NCBI's taxonomy places the organism in Eukaryota, Metazoa, Chordata, Mammalia, Artiodactyla, Bovidae.
CUCCCCCAAAUCUGUGUCUCCAGGGUGAGUGUGUCAUGUCUGUUACCCUUUGUUCGUAACUGCACGCCUUCUGUAUGCUCACACACGGAGUUCACGCCUGUGUCGCUUGGCCGGAGCCCACCAUGAGGACGUGCCCGUAGAACGUAAGAGCACAGACGCACGGUGCUGCGUACGGCCGCCACUGUCUUAAACGCUUAGACAUGUCGACUCAGCCUUUCUAGCCAGUUUAUGUGGUAGGUAAUAUUGCCCUCAUUUUACACUGAAAACUGAAGACUAGAAAGGCUAAGGGAUUUGCCCAGACUUGUACUGUUGGUGCAAAGUAUGAGGUUAGGGAUCGGAGGCCAUUUAGGCUGGCCACAGAGUCCAUGCCCAUAUCACUUUCCCAGAUCCCUUCAUGUAGUGUGAUCCUUUUUCCUUGUCACUACUCAUUUUUACUAAAACGGAUCAAGUAAUGUGCAUUGACCUCUGACCCCUGUUUCUCAUUCUGCAGUACCUCUUGGCCACCAUUUCAGUUUGAGUGUGAAACCAUGUUAAGUCUUCAGUGCUGGCGUCAUCUCAUCACUUUGUGAAAGAUAUAGCGAUCUCAGACAAGGGGAACGGUAUAAGGGUUGGAGUCCAGAGGAAGCCAGGAACAAGCUUCAGGAGUUCUAGUGAAGUUGCUGUCACGUCCGACUCUGUGAUCCGAUUGACUGCAGCCUACCAGGCUCCUCCAUCCAUGGAAUUUUCCAGGCAAGAGUACUGGAGUGGGGUGCCAUUUCCUCCUCCAGGGGAUCUUCCCAACCCAGGGAUCAAACCCAGCUCUCCCUCAUUGCAGGCAGAUGCUUUACCAUCUGAGCCCCAGGGAAGCCUUAGGAGUCCUGAGCACUUGGUUUAAGUUGUGUCAGUGAAUUUCAACAACGUGUGUGAAGUGGCUCAUAGGGGAGCUCAGUAGAACCUCAGAGCCCAGUAUUUUUAUUGGGCACUCUGCUUGGAACAUAACAGUUUUGACCUUCAGAAGCAUAGCAGGUCAGCAGCAUAAUACAGAGACAGUGCCUAUCCUGAGCCAUUCAUCCUUUCUGGGCACGAUAGCAAGCAUCCCAAAGUCUAAGUCCCUAAACUAGCCAGGGACAAACUGAAGUUCAAAGGAUAGCACCGCAUGUUAACUCAUGUUCACAGUGACUUAAAUGAUACCAAAAUAGGGAAGUUCAAAUUCCUUUAACAAAUACUAAGCAAAUACAGUUUGCUAUGACAAAAAUAAGUCAUAGCUUUGAGGUGAAGGUUUAAAUACAUAUAAGUCAUUGUAACAAUAGUUAUAUCACACCAAAAAUUCUUACACGUGUUCAGGAUUUAAUGAUGACAAAAUAUACAGAAUAUCUGGUGAGAAAGAAUCAUGCCUCUCAAUAAAUGUUUUAUCUGUUUAGAUAUAUUGCCAAGUGAUUUGACUUGCAAAUAUUCCCUGUAUUUGCCUCUAUUUCUACAGAGAUGUUAACAACCAGGUUAAUGCCAUGUAUUUCCAUUGCACAUAUGUCAACAGUUUCUCCUUUAUUCUUCCUACUGUUGAAACUUGUAGCCUUGACUUCAAGAAAGAGAAGAUUAACGAAUAUGGGGUCAUAAUUCCCGCAUUGUUAAAUGUGCAUAACUGGAGAUUAAAGAGUGUGUUGU